CAAGGUCCUUGCUUUUGUGGAGCUUGCACUGAAGUAGAGGAGACAGAUACUAACCAAGUAAACGAAAAUAAUUUUAGGUAAUAAUUUCAAUGAAAAAUAACACCGUAAUGGAAUAGAAAUAGGGCAUGAGGGGAAGAGAACAGUGCCAGGAAAGGCCUUAGAGAAGCUGGCAUGUGACCUGAAGCCCAGAUGAGAAGGAGCCAGCCAGACCAAGGGCUGGGGGAAGAGUGGUCCAGGCAGAGCGAAGAGCAAGUGCAGCAGCCCUGGGGUCUGCAUCCAAGAGGAGAGGAUGUGCCCCAUCGAAAGGGAACAGCUGCCACCCAGCUCCAGUCAACUGUUUCCAUGCAGGAAUGUGGGGCCAAUGCUGUAAGAUCUCCUGAUUUGUCUACAGAAACUGGAAAUCCAGAUUUUUUUGUGCGAUCUCCUCUUUAAAUGUUUGCAAAUGAUUUAAUAAAAAAUAUCGCUGAGCUGCCAAG
Molecule: long non-coding RNA, 476 nt
Filed under: Homo sapiens (human)
Lineage: Eukaryota; Metazoa; Chordata; Mammalia; Primates; Hominidae
Description: HSALNT0092871
Source: RNAcentral